AAUGACAGAUUUUCCCGCCACAUCCCACAAUUCCCUGCGUGCCGCCGCCAUCUUGUACACAGCAAGACGUUCGAAGUUCGCGUGAACUCGAGGUACGGCUGUGCCAAUAAACCUUUUCCUAACGCCCUGACUUCAUAUUACAAGUUUUCGUCAUGGGUACCCGUGUCUACAUUGGUCGCCUUCCAUACUCAGCACGUGAGAAAGACGUGGAAAGGUUCUUCCGUGGGUACGGCCGAAUCCGGGAGAUCAACUUGAAGAAUGGGUUUGGCUUUGUGGAAUUUGAUGAUUAUCGGGAUGCAGAUGAUGCGGUGUAUGAGCUGAAUGGCAAGGAAGUUCUCGGUGAGCGUGUCGUCAUCGAGCACGCGAGAGGUCCCACAAGGCGUGAUUAUGGGUACGGAGGCUAUUACGGCGGUGGACACGGUCGCAGUCGGUCUGGCCGAGACAAGUAUGGUCCACCGAUCCGCACGGAUUAUCGUGUCGUCGUAGAGAACCUUUCCAGUCGCGUCAGCUGGCAGGAUCUGAAGGAUUUCAUGCGCCAGGCAGGGGAGGUCACAUACGGAGAUGCCCACAAGCACAGGAAGAAUGAGGGAGUUGUAGAGUUCCGCACAAGAGAUGAUAUGAAGAAGGCCCUCCACACACUGGAUGGUGCAGAGAUAAAUGGUAGGAAGAUCAAGCUGAGGGAGGAUAGGCGAUACUCGCGUAGCCGGUCCCGCAGUCACUCCAGGCGACGCAGUAGGUCUCGUUCUGGCUCCCGAAGUCGCUCCAGGUCCCGCAGCCGCAGCAAGUCUCUGUCCAGAUCACGCUCCAAAUCCCGCUCACGGUCCAAGUCCAAAUCCCGCUCCAAAUCCACGUCAAGGUCACCUUCUGCAGAUAACAAAGAGAAAGAAGAGCAGCAGGACCAAGAGCAAGAAAAUGACAAGGAGGCAGACCAGGAAGACUGAGUAGAACUCUCCUAAGUGUCAGACAAAGGAGAAGGGCUUGAUGAUUGAUGCUAUAUGAGAACUCCAGAAUUCAUGAAGGUGAUGGAUGGGCGUGUCCCUCCUGACCCCCUGACCCGCCUUCUUUGAGGGACGAUUGACUGAGAUGCUCCCCUUGUCCUUUCCGAGGGACGAAAAAGAGGGAUGUCUCCCAUAGAUGCUAUGAAGGGGACGUUGAGGGCUGUCCUAGAUGACCUAAAGUGUGAGGCGAUCCCUGAUGCUUCAGUGUCAGAUGACCCCCUGUCAUGAAGUGAUGACAACAUCUUUCCAAAAGUUCCCUUAGAUGGACGAUUCAGGAAUGCAGGCCCUCUGGACGCGAACUGUCCAGCAAUAAUUUGUCAGGUGAAAGUAAUUGGGUGUAUUUGACAAGCAGGGCUCAAAAUACUCACCCACUUGACAUAUUGUGAAUUGCCUGAGCACUGAUGCAACACAACUGCUACAGAUAAUAUCUUGAUCUUAAAUUUUUACUCAACAUUAGUGCUGUAGUAUCUGUACGUUAUUGGAUAUGGGUGAGUAUUUUGAGCCAUGUCAAGUAACAACUCAAUGCCAAUAGAUUGCGCACCCUUGACCUGAGACAGACAAGCAUGUAAAACCAGUCCGGUUGUUGCAUUUGAUUGAAAAGGCCACAUAUUGUUUCAUGCCCACUUACUUUGCAUGCUGUCCUCCAUUAGGAAAUAUCCAUGUCCAAAUUGCCUUAAACAUCAUUCAUGGGAAAGUUCAAUCAAACCUCAGAUGCAUUGAUAACCUUCAGCCUGUUAAGGUCCAAGGUUGGACAAGUCCACUAGCCCGAUUGUCCCGGACAAGUGAAAGUGUACAUUGGGCAAGUGAAUGUCCUUCCCCACUUGUCCGAUCGGGCAAGUAAGAUUUUACCAUGAGAUUUUGAUAUACUUAUUGCUUAUGGCAGUUAACGCAUCAAGCAUUGGUCAACACAGAAAAAAUAGAGCCAAUAAUGAAAGAAUUCCAUUGUUGCAUGUCAAAAUACUUAUUGAAAAAUGUUAGUUAAAUUUUGGGGCAAGCAGAAAGCUGGUUCGGGCAAGUAAAUUUUAGAAAACUUGUUAAACAUUGCGGUCGCUAUUUCUGUUGUGCAUAAUGGUUCUGAAGUUAUCAGACAGCGAGGAGAAAGUUGAUACAAGUCAUUGUAUUGGCCUAAAGCUAUGUAGGCAAAAUCGAUUGCAGCUUUAUUUUACAGGCUCCAAAAUAGCCCCUUAAACUUAAAGAAAAAGUUAAUGUCAGUACAAUGCUGUGUCCCAAAGUUCCAAGAUGAAUAGUUGAAUGCUAUAAGCAGUGGCUUCUGGUGUCUCUAUAAUUAUCUAUACAUCUUCAUGGUUCUCAGAGCAUUUCCAUUAUUCUCUAGGUUUCUUCAUGACUCUCUAGGAUUUUCAUUUUCCAGAUGUCGCUAUGAAACUCCAGAUUCUUUCAUAUUUACCUCCAUGAAAAAUGGAAGUACCGUAUUUUCCCCCAAUAAAGUACGCACCCAAUUCAAAUACGCACCCCUAAGUCUCAGACAGGUCUGUGGGACUGAAAGGUAAAAUGGAAAAACGCAAAUAAAGUAGGCACCCCUUCUCCACCAACUUUGAACAGACCUUUAACACUGGAUAAAUACAAAUUUAUCAUGUUUUCCCCAGGUUAUUUUAUGCAAAAACACAGUCAGUUGACACAGUCAUUGUCUCUAUAAGCUUGUGAAUUGCCUACUGUAACUUAUAAAAUCACUGAGAAUGAACUGGUAGAAGAAAUCAGCUAGUACAUCUAUUAAACUGGAAAAAAAAACAGUUGAACAUGUCAAAGUCACAAACUCAAAUUAAAGGAUUGUAUGCAAAUGGCACUCUUAUUUAUGUAAAUCAUGUCACUCAGACAGUCCCCCUUUGGUGAGACAACACCAAUGUGUAUGUUUUGAAAUCUUGCUUUAUUUUACACUUUUUUUACCAUUUAUCCGUGCAAUAACCUCAAAUAUAGUACUGUAUGUACAUCAAGAAAAUACGGUAUUUACAAGUUUUAACAGACAAUCAGGUCCAGCUUCAGGUGACCCCCGUCUUUAAAAACGGCAUGACUGUGUGUGUGUGUGUGUUUGCGUGUUUUCUAAUAUUUAUGGUCAGUAGUUGUGGGUAUCGGUACAGAAAAUCCAGAGUCAGGUCAGAGCAUCACCUGAAGCUUGUGAAUUGGCAAUACUUACAAGAAUGGUCCAUUUUGCUACAAAGUAACCUGUUUGGUGGAGUAUUCGACUCCUACUGGGGUUUUAAAAUCCUAUCUUCAUGUACAACGUUAACUGCCUCUGUUUGCAGUUUACCAGACUGCCUGGCCUUUUUACCUUCACCAAGAAGAGUACGAUUCGGUAGCGUGUGUAUGUAUGUUUGUUGAUAACCAGCCAAACUGUAGAAUGCCUGGAUGGAUUGUACAU
This is an RNA transcript of Branchiostoma floridae (Florida lancelet), 3372 nucleotides long. It is a transcript of the gene named serine/arginine-rich splicing factor 4-like, with no coding region annotated. The transcript is spliced from 3 exons. The record is from RefSeq and is a predicted model, not a curated record. NCBI's taxonomy places the organism in Eukaryota, Metazoa, Chordata, Leptocardii, Amphioxiformes, Branchiostomatidae.